AGUGAACGCUGGCGGUAGGCCUAACACAUGCAAGUCGAACGGCAGCACAGUAAGAGCUUGCUCUUACGGGUGGCGAGUGGCGGACGGGUGAGGAAUACAUCGGAAUCUACUUUUUCGUGGGGGAUAACGUAGGGAAACUUACGCUAAUACCGCAUACGACCUACGGGUGAAAGCAGGGGAUCUUCGGACCUUGCGCGAUUGAAUGCGCCGAUGUCGGAUUAGAUAGUUGGCGGGGUAAAGGCCCACCAAGGCGACGAUCCGUAGCUGGUCUGAGAGGAUGAUAAGCCACAUUGGAACUGAGACACGGUCCAGACGCCUACGGGAGGCAGCAGUGGGGAAUAUUGGACAAUGGGCGCAAGCCUGAUCCAGCCAUACCGCGUGGGUGAAGAAGGCCUUCGGGUUGUAAAGCCCUUUUGUUGGGAAAGAAAAGCAGCAGGUUAAUACCCCGCUGUUCUGACGGUACCCAAAGAAUAAGCACCGGCUAACUUCGUG
Molecule: ribosomal RNA, 492 nt
Filed under: uncultured bacterium
Lineage: Bacteria
Description: partial 16S ribosomal RNA
Rfam family: Bacterial small subunit ribosomal RNA
Source: RNAcentral